CCCCCCCCCCCCUCUACGUCCACUGCAGGCGCUCCUCCUUCUCCUCCAUCAUCAGGAGGGUCUCGACUGCAGUUCUACUCCAGGCUCCGCAUCCAAGCAAUUGCAACGAAUGGCAAGGUUGCGUGUCUCAAAGUAGAAAUCUCAGAGGUGUCGCUUCCUGCCGUAUUCAUGCGAUGGAGGAGGUUCUUUCAUGAUUCCUUAGUUGUUUUUGGUUCGAUUUUUUAUCUCGCGGCGCUCAUCUAGGUCUUCUGUUGCCCCCUUGUUGUUCUAGGCUUAGGUUUUGUUGUUGGAUUGGUGACUGUCGCGAACUGGUAACACGUCAGCUUGCUAUUGUCUGCCAUCUCUGUUGAUCGAGGUAGCUUUGCUGGUUCUGCUCUUGCUCGGCCAUCCCGUUAGGUGUUCAUCUUAUCCCGUUUUUCUCUGUCCGUAUUUUGUUGUGCCUGUAUUUAAGCAUGGAUUGUGCCUUAAUAGAUCUACUAUUUUUGUUGGGCUUUGUCUUUUGUGUGGGGUUUGCUUAUUUUUGGUUAUUCAUUGUUUGUGGCAGGAUGUUUGCUGUCAGUUGUCCGUACGUGAAUAAAAGAAAAUCUUGUGUUGCUCUGUUACUUUGUUUACCAGUCAUUCACUUUUUUUUUGUUGAUAAUGGAGUAUCCUUUUUGGGCUAAUCUUAUAUUUUUCUUUAGGUUGCCACCGAUGGGAAUACAACCAGUGGACAUGUUUUGCUUGUCAACGACCAGAACAAGAACAAGUCAAUACUUAUCUGUAUAUGUUCAACUUUGUGGAUGAUUGCAGGCUUUGUGUUCAUAGUUUAUAUGGUUUGUCUUUAUAUCUAGUCCAUGGUCGCUGUAUUGGUCUAUCAUUCAUCUACCGGCUAAUUAACCAUAGAAAGGUCAUGGCAUUAAUAGGAUAUAUUUUGCUUUUUUCCUUUACAGAAAAGAUUAUUAUCGGGCUAACAGUGACUCAAUGCAUUGCUUGACACAAUGAUUUGAGAUUAA
This is a long non-coding RNA of Triticum aestivum (bread wheat), 992 nucleotides long. RefSeq lists it as uncharacterized. The record is from RefSeq and is a predicted model, not a curated record. NCBI's taxonomy places the organism in Eukaryota, Viridiplantae, Streptophyta, Magnoliopsida, Poales, Poaceae. The transcript has 2 exons.